RNAcentral lists this ribosomal RNA (253 nucleotides) under uncultured bacterium. Its description in RNAcentral is "partial 16S ribosomal RNA". It matches the Rfam family "Bacterial small subunit ribosomal RNA", at positions 524 to 776 of the family's 1533-position model. The record is from RNAcentral.
UACGUAGGGUGCAAGCGUUGUCCGGAAUUAUUGGGCGUAAAGGGCUCGUAGGCGGUCCAUCGCGUCGGGAGUGAAAAGCUGGGGCUUAACCCCAGUCCUGCUUCCGAUACGGGUGGACUAGAGGUAGGCAGGGGAGAACGGAAUUCCUGGUGUAGCGGUGAAAUGCGCAGAUAUCAGGAGGAACACCGGUGGCGAAGGCGGGUCUCUGGGCCAAAACUGACGCUGAGGAGCGAAAGCGUGGGGAGCGAACAGG